UCAAGCUACCGCAUCCGCUUACUUAUAAGCCAACCUCACACUAGCUCUAGUACUAUAGCCCGCGCGGCAACUGUACGCGGGCUAUAGUACUAGAGCUAACCUCACACAAGUUUUAUAACACCUGCCAGAGCGGACGCACGCACGCGGCAACGUCGAGCGUCUGCGUAUUCAGUCACCGAUUUCUAUUCAUUCAGCCACUCAUUGCUAUACUCCAGAUACCUCAAGGAGAUACGUAAAAACAAAGCUAAAGUUGAGCAAGUAUAUCUAAGCACUACCAGAAGCCAUGUCAGUGAGAGUAGCUACAGAGUUUGAGGCGAGCGCACCGCUCAAGCGUCACCGAUCGUCAUCACCGGACGCCCGCCAACAAUCGCCGUGGAAACGCAGCCUCGUGGAAGAACGCGAACAGGAAACGGAACAUGGGUAUACAUAUACUAUACAAGUCGCUAUGACUAUAUACGAACCCACGCCAACCAAUGAGACUAAGGAUGCGCACGACGAAGCCGUGAAGAAGGUCAUUCAAAGGUCGGAGGUUGCGAGCGAGGUUGCCACGGCGACGCGCGACUGCAUCCUGAGGGAGGAGCUCGCCGGUGUCUCCCCGCCGUCCGUGCCGCCGCUCCCCGGAUUCCCCGCUCGCCCAGAUGACACCCCGGGACGCGACAGCGCCGCGCGACUCAAGGAAACCUACGAGUGGACCGUCAAGGCUCUCCUCUUCCUUGACUGCGCGGCCGCCGACGAGCGUGCGGGGGCGACGCCGGAAGGGUACGGGAAAGGGAAGUUCCCUAUGGAGCGCGUGCUGCAGGAGGUGGAUAGGAUGGAGAAGAACGUGGCAGGAGCGUGCUUGACGGGGAUAGGGAGCGUGCCUCACGUCGACACGAGCGGGCUUCGGCCGGAAGCGUGCGACAACGAGAGCGAUCGCGUGCAGAGAGACUACGUGCUGACUCGCGACACCGCCGAGUGCCUCGACGCCGUGACGAUCAUCUACAAAGACAUGUAGCACGGUUGCCGUGGCGACGACAACAACGCGCGGUGACGGCGGCUGCCAUCGUUGGCUCCGAUAGACGGUCAUGUAUUAAAGAUGUACUCGCGCGUUUGUGCGUGCGUGCAUGCGUACGUGCGUGCGUGCGUGAAGACGAAGACGUGUACGUACGUUUAGUCCUGCGGCUGCGAAUGGGUUGGGGAUGGAUAAGUGGGAAGCAUUUCGCAAUUGUACGGCUGCUGUACAUUUGUAAUUAUUUUAACGGGUCUAUCGGGCUAUAAGGUGAAUAAGAGGAGUCGUUUUUAGGGUGUAGUGAGUAGCACGCAUCGCAUCACAUCUAUAUUUAUAAUAGCUUAACUCUACUAUAUUUAUUGUUGUUAUUAAUAUUAUAUAUCACUCAUAAUUUAAACACAUGUAUACUCAUAACUCAGCCUAUGAUAAGCUAGUGUUCAUAGUAGACCCUCAGUAUUACGAUUCGUCGUGCUCUCAAUUGCCACCUUAUAUUAAUAUUGUGCAGCAGUAGGUGGCUUAAGAAGUAUUUUCAUUUCCUUUCAUUUCCAUUUCAAAGUACGCUUUUUUCUAGCUAUAUGUGAUAUUCAUAUUCCUGUUACAACUUAAAUAAACGUUUUUACGCAUAA
RNAcentral lists this unclassified non-coding RNA (1614 nucleotides) under Priapulus caudatus. RNAcentral's name for it is "uncharacterized LOC106810370, transcript variant X2". The record is from RNAcentral. Lineage: Eukaryota; Metazoa; Priapulida; Priapulimorpha; Priapulimorphida; Priapulidae.